GAAAACCAAAGCCUUCAUCUGUAGCAGUAUAAAUACUCUCGGCGUGGCCAACUUCAGGUUACCAACACAAGAUCAUGCAGCUUGCAAAUUUCCUGAAAAAUUAACAAUUGGCUCUUAGGAGCCCACCUGACCCAGCUCCAGCAUGCCGCUGCAUCGAGGAGAGUGCCUUCUCGGAAUGGCAGAUACUAGAACAUACUGGAGGCUUCAUUUUGAUGUGAAUUGGAGUUCAAACUUGGCUCGAUUGUAGACUGAGCUCUGAGAAUGAAACGGCGUCGCCACACAAAGGCCGUCACAGAGAACCCAGACAAACACAAGAGAUUGCUACCAAAACACAAAAAGACCCCUCUCUGCCACUGCUGCACCGAUGAGGCAGCUCCUUGAAGAUACGGACCACAUCUUGGUCAUCCUCUGUAUCCAUAGCAGCUGGCGGAAUAACUGGCAGAAAUGCACAAACUCAAUAAACAGAUCUAUCCCUGGGCCUGAAUUUCCCCCGAAGUUCUGGUGGCAUGGAUCCAAACAGCCUGCAAGCCUGUCCCCUUGGAGGGCUUGCCCUUACCUCACCAAAUGCUCUGUGUUUGUUUAUUCGCUCAACAAAUAUGCAUGGAAUGCCACCAGGUGCCAAAUCUUUUCCCAGGACCCACGGUUUUCAGCUAAAUUAGACACAGUUCAACCCUCAAGGAGCCCCCCGUUCAGGGGGAGAGAUGGAUUAUGCAAUGAUGCUGUGGCACGGGAUGUGCUAGAUUCCAGGGGCCUGGGAGGUGGAAUAGUCCAGGCUGUGCUCUCAAAGAGAGGAAAAGCAACCCAGGGACGAUGAAAAAUGCCACGUCCAAGCUGCAGAGGGCCUGGCCGUGUCAGAGGGCCGCCUGGCCUGGGGGUCCACCGCGCUGCAGGCAGAAAGUGAAGCAAUCGCAGCCUGGGAGGCCGACGGCAGGGGAGGGAACAUUCCACCAGGGCAAAGCUGGCGAGGGCUUUGGGCCCAUCCAAGAUCCAGCUCUCAUGAAAUGCAGGAAGUGUGAUGAAGAACCCCGGGCGCCUCGAGGCCUCCCACCCUGGCUUGGGAAAGGGAAGAAAGCGAGUUAGGGGAAGGUUUCGUGGGCUACAUUCCCCUGGCUUCUCAGUGAGCACACGGUGGUGUCUGCAUUUCUGCUUAAGUCAACAUUGUCACAAGACUCAGC
Molecule: long non-coding RNA, 1175 nt
Filed under: Equus caballus (horse)
Lineage: Eukaryota; Metazoa; Chordata; Mammalia; Perissodactyla; Equidae
Description: lncRNA (ENSECAG00000029338.2)
Source: RNAcentral